GGGGAAUUUUGGACAAUGGGCGCAAGCCUGAUCCAGCCAUGCCGCGUGAGUGAAGAAGGCCUUCGGGUUGUAAAGCUCUUUCGGCCGGGAAGAAAUCGCAUGGGUUAAUACCCUGCGCGGAUGACGGUACCGGCAUAAGAAGCACCGGCUAACUACGUGCCAGCAGCCGCGGUAAUACGUAGGGUGCGAGCGUUAAUCGGAAUUACUGGGCGUAAAGCGUGCGCAGGCGGUUUUGUAAGACAGGCGCGAAAUCCCCGGGCUCAACCUGGGAACUGCGCUUGUGACUGCAAGGCUAGAGUACGGCAGAGGGGGGUGGAAUUCCACGUGUAGCAGUGAAAUGCGUAGAGAUGUGGAGGAACACCAAUGGCGAAGGCAGCCCCCUGGGUCGAUACUGACGCUCAUGCACGAAAGCGUGGGUAGCAAAC
This 425-nucleotide ribosomal RNA is filed under the name uncultured bacterium. RNAcentral's name for it is "bacterial SSU rRNA". It matches the Rfam family "Bacterial small subunit ribosomal RNA", at positions 356 to 773 of the family's 1533-position model. The record is from RNAcentral.